GUCAUUAGGGUCCAUUAGGGUCCAUUAGGGCCAUAUAGGGUCCAUUUAGGGUCCUUUUGGGGCCAUUAGGGUCCACUAGGGUCCAUUUAGGGUCCUUUUGGGGUCAUUAGGGUCCAUUAGGGUCCAUUAGGGUCCAUUUGGGGUCCUUUUGGGGUCAUUAGGGUCCAUUAGGGUCCAUUAGGGCCAUAUAGGGUCCACUUAGGGUCCUUUUGGGGUCAUUAGGGUCCAUUAGGGCCUUAUAGGGCCGUACCAUCAGGUUCUCCAUGUCCCGCACCUCCUGGUUGACCCGAUUUAGGAUUUCCCUGCAGCACUCGGCGGCCUGCUGGACUCGGGAACGCUCCUCCGCCUCCUCUGGGAUUUGGGGGAUUUAUGGGAUUUGGGGCAUUUGGGGCGGUGGGGGGGGAUUGGGGGCAUUUGGGGGAUUGGGGGGAUUUGGGGGAUUUGGGGGGAUUGGGGGAUUGGGGGCAAUGGGGUCACAUUGGGGUCAAUAGGGACAAUGGGGUCACAUUGGGAUCAGUGGGGUCACAUUGGGAUCAGUGGGGGUCAAUGGGGUCACAUUGGGGUCACAUUGGGAUCAAUGGGGGCAAUGGGGUCACAUUGGGAUCACAUUUGGGGGAUUUG
RNAcentral lists this long non-coding RNA (621 nucleotides) under Phasianus colchicus (ring-necked pheasant). RNAcentral describes it as "lncRNA (ENSPCLG00000013628.1)". Lineage: Eukaryota; Metazoa; Chordata; Aves; Galliformes; Phasianidae. The record is from RNAcentral.